GCAGGAGGACCAAACUGGAGACAGUCCUGGCUCUGAGGAAACAGGAAGGAAGGAGGGUGAAAGGAAGGUCCACCUGCACACAAAGGAAAGAUGAAAAAGAAUCACCUACCAUGGGACCUGGCAAAGCACUUCAGAACUUUUAUUCCUUCCAGAAGCAGGUAAGUACCCCAAGUCCUCAUCGUAUUCCCAGCAUAGGGCUUGGUAUACGGGGGGAUAUUUCAUUCAGCAUGUUGGCUGAAUGAAAGGUCUGAUGGGUAUACUUGGGAGAAGGUCCUUAGGGACAUGGCUUAAAAAAUGAGAGAGGGGCAGGGCAGUGAGUCUAAAAGGAUGUGGAUGCUCACAUCUGCUCUUACAAUCAUGCUACAGUUCAUUUAUUGAGUGGAAACAGUUCCCUACUUAUUGACAAUUCAUUUAUUGAAUAGGUAAUCAGUAAAUACAUUUUGUAUCAAUCUAACAAUUAGGCAUAAACUACAGCCUCCUACACCCAAUAUCUGAGGUGUUCUAAGAUUUAACUACUCAAAUGUUUGAUAUUUGAUAAAUUGUUUAAGUUCUCUGCAAUUCAGUUCCACCUCCUAUAACAGCACUUCUGAAAAUGUGGUCUGUGAACCUCUGAGGGGUUCCUGAGACACUGUCAGGGAGCAAGUGAGACAUGACUAUUUUUAUAAUACUAAACUAUUAGCCUUUGUCACUGUGUUGUCAUUUACCUAGGAUAGGUACAACUGCUGGCACCUGAGCACAAAUCAAGGCACUGACCCUAAGCUCUACUAGUUGUUAUUGCAUUUUUCACCACUGUACACUCAUAAUUUAGGAGAAAAGAGCAAAAACUCUAGAUUGCAUGUAACAAUAUCCCUUGAUGAAGCAGUAAAAAAUUAUUAAUGUUGUUAAAUCUUAAUCAUUGAGUACAUGUGUUAAGUCCUCAUAAGACACUUUUGGUUGUCUCAAAGAAAUCUAUCUGUGUUGUUUGAGUUGUGAAUUACACUAGCUGCUUUGUUCAUGGAAUACCAGUUUUAUUUGAAAAAAAUUACUAGGCCAGGCACGGUGGCUCAUGCCUGUAAUGCCUCACUUUGGGAGGCAGAGGUAGGAGGAUCGCAUCAGCCCAGGAGUUCAAGACCAGCCUGGACAACACAGGGGAGACCCCAUCUCUACAAAACAUAAAAAAUUAUCCAGGUGUGAUGGCACACGCCUAUAGUCCCAGUUACUCGGAAGGCUGAGGACUGCUUGAGGCCAGGAGGAUGAGCCAUGGCCAUGCCACUGCACUCCAGCAGUGGUGCUGUGCAACAGAGCAGGACCCUGUCUUUAAAAAACUCUAUGAAAAUUUUAAAAGAGAAAAAAGUGACUGACAAACUAUGGCUUUUCAGACUUAGGUAUCUGGCAGACAUCUUCUUGAAAAUGCAUGAAGUGAACGCCUGUCAUGUCAAGGAAAACAAAAGUCAGUAUCUGUUGCCAAUAGUAAAAUUCAGGCUUUCAAACAAAUAUUAGCAUUUCAGAGAAGCGGCAUUCACAACUGUGAGCUUGAAACUUCCCAAAAUUCCAAGUUUUUUGAUUAUUAGUGAUACUAACAAAUGUAAUUUUUAAAAUAUUUAUGGCCGGGCGUGGUGGCUCAUGCCUGUAAUCCCAGCACUUUGGGAGGCCAAGGCAGGCAGAUCACGAGGUCAAGAGAUUGAGUCCAUCCUGGACAACAUGGGGAAACCCUCUCUACUAAAAAUACAAAAAUUAGUUGGGCGUGGUGGCGUGCACCUGUAGUCGCAGCUACUUGGGAUGCUGAGGCAGGAGAAUCGCUUGAACCCAGUAGGUGGAGGUUGCAGUGAGCCAAGAACGCACCACUGCACUCCAGCCUGGCGACAGAGCGAGACUCUGUCUCAAAAAAAAAAAAAAAAAAAAAAAAUUAAA
Molecule: long non-coding RNA, 1890 nt
Organism: Gorilla gorilla gorilla (western lowland gorilla)
Lineage: Eukaryota; Metazoa; Chordata; Mammalia; Primates; Hominidae
Exons: 2
Source: RefSeq, a predicted model, not a curated record